RNAcentral lists this ribosomal RNA (252 nucleotides) under uncultured bacterium. RNAcentral's name for it is "partial 16S ribosomal RNA". It matches the Rfam family "Bacterial small subunit ribosomal RNA", at positions 524 to 776 of the family's 1533-position model. The record is from RNAcentral.
GACAGAGGGUGCAAGCGUUGUUCGGAAUCAUUGGGCGUAAAGGGCGCGUAGGCGGUUUUGUAAGUCGAAUGUGAAAGCCCAGGGCUCAACCUUGGAAGUGCAUCCGAAACUGCGAAACUUGAAUCCUGGAGAGGGUGGUGGAAUUCCCAGUGUAGAGGUGAAAUUCGUAGAUAUUGGGAGGACACCGGUGGCGAAGGCGACCACCUGGACAGAGAUUGACGCUGAGGCGCGAGAGCGUGGGGAGCAAACAGG